AUUGAACGCUGGCGGCAUGCCUUACGCAUGCAAGUCGAACGGCAGCGCGGACUUCGGUCUGGGGCGAGUGGCGAACGGGUGAGUAAUGCAUCGGAACGUACCUUUCAGUGGGGGAUAACGUAGCGAAAGUUACGCUAAUACCGCAUAUUCUGUGAGCAGGAAAGCAGGGGAUCGCAAGACCUUGCGCUGAUGGAGCGGCCGAUGUCAGAUUAGCUAGUUGGUGGGGUAAAGGCUCACCAAGGCGACGAUCUGUAGCGGGUCUUAGAGGAUGAUCCGCCACACUGGAACUGAGACACGGUCCAGACUCCUACGGGAGGCAGCAGUGGGGAAUUUUGGACAAUGGGCGCAAGCCUGAUCCAGCCAUGCCGCGUGAGUGAAGAAGGCCUUCGGGUUGUAAAGCUCUUUCGGCCGGGAAAAAAUCGCUUGGGUUAAUACCCUGAGUGGAUGAUGGUACCGGAAUAAGAAGCACCGGCUAACUACGUGCCAGCAGCCGCGGUAAUACGUAGGGUGCGAGCGUUAAUCGGAAUUACUGGGCGUAAAGCGUGCGCAGGCGGUUUUGUAAGACAGGCGUGAAAUCCCCGGGCUCAACCUGGGAACUGCGUUUGUGACUGCAAGGCUAGAGUAUGGCAGAGGGGGGUGGAAU
Molecule: ribosomal RNA, 643 nt
Filed under: uncultured bacterium
Lineage: Bacteria
Description: bacterial SSU rRNA
Rfam family: Bacterial small subunit ribosomal RNA
Source: RNAcentral